Molecule: long non-coding RNA, 2749 nt
Filed under: Strigops habroptila (Kakapo)
Lineage: Eukaryota; Metazoa; Chordata; Aves; Psittaciformes; Psittacidae
Description: lncRNA (ENSSHBG00005019430.1)
Source: RNAcentral
UCUUCUUUUUCCUUUUCAGCUUCCUUUUCAAUUUUCCCUAAUUGAGCAAUGUCAUAUUCUAUAUCUGCAGUUACGUUUGGUAUAUGUACACAGCAGUGAUCGAUUCUAUCUUUGAGAUAUCCACAAACACCAUGUUCCUUUAACAGCAAUGUGUCUAAUGCCAUUCUGUUCUGCAGAGUCAUUUUGGUUGUCGCCUGUAAUUGCAAAUUUAGAUCCAUAAAGCCUUUUUUAGUCACCUUGGCCAAUCUCUCAGUUUGUCCAAUUAAAUUAUAAAUCACUUCCCUAUUGCGAUAUGCAGCUAUUUGAGCAAAAAGGGAUUUGAGUGCCCAUCCUGCUUUCACUCCUGUCUCAGGCUCUUGCCAAGUGUCAUCUAUAUUGUCAAUGUCAUCAUCAACACUUCUUUUGGUUCAAAUCUGCAAAGUUUCUAGUUUGCCCCUGAAUGGGGAACGCUUCCAAAUUGGACACAAAGUGGGGAGUCCCAAGGUAAUUUCCCGCACUGGCCCUGUUAUUGGAAGGUGGGUGGUCCAGGUACCAUCACUGAGUGCCCAAACAAGAUGUCCCAUGCUAUGUAUCAUCAAAUAUCUGCAGUUUAUUCCAUCAGCCGGGGCUUGUAUCGUUUUUCCUCCAACUUUAAAUCCUCGGCAUGCACAUCCUGCUUUUAAAGCAAUUCUAAUUGGGGGCAUUGCAAUGUUUUCUGGAUCAGUAUCGCAAUCUAUUAUCCUGGUGCAAUUCCACCAAGGAACAUUUUUAACAGUAUCUAGACUGACUCUGUUUAAUGACAACAGGUUCAUAUUUCCUGCUAUAUUAUAUUUCCCUGUCCACCUGAGACACCAAGAUGUGUUUAAUUGUUUGAUUCAUCUUUUCCACCUGUCCACUGGACUGUGGCCUCCAUGGGGUAUGAAGAUUCCAGGAUAUUCCUAACAGUUCACUGACUUCCUGAACUAUAGUUGCUGUAAAAUGCGGUCCUCUAUCUGAUGAUAUACCCAACGGGACUCCGAAUCUAGGGAUGAUCUCUUUCAACAACCAUUUCACUGUUUCCUUAGCGUGAUUGGUGCGACAGGGAGAGGCUUCUGGCCAUCCAGAAAAAGUGUCAACCCCUACUAACAAGUAUCGGUAUCCCUGUGUCUUGGGUAAUUCCACAAAAUCAAUUUGCCAAUAGUCACCCGGCUCCAUACCUACUCUGAUAUGUCCCAUUUCUACUUUCCUCUUGACUACUGGAUUGUUUUUUUAAACAAAUUUCACAUUUAGAUCCUAUGGAUUUUGCCAUUGUUAACAUCCGUGUAGAGAUCAUUCCUCGUUUUAAAUAUGUUACCAAUGCCUCUGCCCCCCCAAUGACAUUUUUGAUGUUCGGUUUGUAAAAUUGUCCGCAUGAUGGCAGGUGGUACCACCACUUGUCCAGUAGUGGUUACGUACCAUCCUUCCGAGUUCAAUCGAGCCUUUACUAAUUCAGCCAAUUUAACAUCUUCUUCUGAAUAUCCUGGUUUUUUGUUCAUAUAAUUCUGUAAUGGGCUCACCUUUGUUGGUACCAGGGCCAUAACAGUCUGUACCUGUCGUGCAAUUCGUCUAGCCAUCCGAUCCGCAAAUGUAUUUCCUUCGGCUAUCUUAGAAUUUCCUCCUUGAUGCGCUUUACAGUGCAUGAUAGCCACCUGUUCUGGUAAUUGCACAGCAGUUAUUAAAUUCAGAAUUUCCUCUUGGUAUUUUAUGUUUGUCCCUUGUGAGGACAGGAGCCCUCGUUCCUUCCAUAGAGCUCCGUGUAUAUGGACCACACCGAAUGCAUAUUUCAAAUCUGUCCAUAUAUUUACCCGCUUCCCUUUGCUCAGUUCUAAAGCUCUGGUGAGAGCUAUUAUCUCUGCCCGUUGUGCUGAAGUCCCUGGGGGCAGAGCUUUUGCUUCUAUUAGGGCGUUUUGUGUGGUUACUGCAUAUCCAGCAUAACGGACCCCACCUUCCACAAAACUGCUUCCAUCAGUAAAAAGUUCCUCAUCAGGUUGCUCAAGUGAGGCAUCCUUCAAAUCAGCCCUCGUCGCAUAUGUAUAUUCAAUCGUCUCCCCACAAUCGUGUUCUAAUAUGCCGUCCUCUGUAUUUGUACCUAGAAAAGCUGCUGGGUUCAACAGGUUAGUUGUCUUUAGAGUCACAUCAUCUUGUUCAGUUAAUACCGCCUGGUAUUUCAUCAUCCGACUUGGGGAUAGCCAGUACCCCCCUUUUUGUUCUAAAACAGUCAUUACCAUGUGUGGCACAUAUACAUCAAUAUGUUUUCCUAAGGUCAAUUUUCUUGCUUCUUGUAUUAAUGUCACUGUUGCUGCUACUGCUCGUAGGCACGAUGGCCAUCCAGCACUUACCAGAUCCAGCUGUUUGGAGAAGUAUCCCACUGGUCGCUUCCAGCUUCCCAGUCUCUGCGUCAGGACUCCCAAUGCCAAUCUCUGUCUCUCGUGCACAAACAGCUGGAAGUCCUUGGUUAAAUCCGGUAAUCCCAGGGCGGGUGCUUUUAUUAACGCUUCUUUUAGCUUUUUAAAAGCUUCCUUUUGGGACCCUUCCCAAACGAAGGUCUGAGAUUUCUGUGCCUCAUAUAAAGGUUUAGCUAUCAGUGCAUAGUCCGAUAUCCAUAACCUGCACCAACCCGCCAUUCCAAGGAAUGUUCUCAGUUCAUGUAAAUUCCGAGGCUCUGGAAUAGCACAAAUACGAUCAAUUCCCAACCUCCGUUGUCCCUGGGAGAUUUCACAGCCCAAAUACAUUACAGUAGUGCAGGCAAUCU